This 70-nucleotide transfer RNA is filed under the name Isothrix sinnamariensis. RNAcentral's name for it is "tRNA-His". The record is from RNAcentral. Lineage: Eukaryota; Metazoa; Chordata; Mammalia; Rodentia; Echimyidae.
GUACGUAUAGUUUAACCAAAACAUUAGAUUGUGAGUCUAACAUUAGAAGAACAGUAACUUCUUACUUACC